RNAcentral lists this ribosomal RNA (484 nucleotides) under uncultured bacterium. RNAcentral describes it as "partial 16S ribosomal RNA". It matches the Rfam family "Bacterial small subunit ribosomal RNA", at positions 30 to 507 of the family's 1533-position model. The record is from RNAcentral.
AUUGAACGCUGGCGGCAGGCCUAACACAUGCAAGUCGAGCGGAUGAAGGGAGCUUGCUCCUGGAUUCAGCGGCGGACGGGUGAGUAAUGCCUAGGAAUCUGCCUGGUAGUGGGGGAUAACGUCCGGAAACGGGCGCUAAUACCGCAUACGUCCUGAGGGAGAAAGUGGGGGAUCUUCGGACCUCACGCUAUCAGAUGAGCCUAGGUCGGAUUAGCUAGUUGGUGGGGUAAAGGCCUACCAAGGCGACGAUCCGUAACUGGUCUGAGAGGAUGAUCAGUCACACUGGAACUGAGACACGGUCCAGACUCCUACGGGAGGCAGCAGUGGGGAAUAUUGGACAAUGGGCGAAAGCCUGAUCCAGCCAGGCCGCGUGUGUGAAGAAGGUCUUCGGAUUGUAAAGCACUUUAAGUUGGGAGGAAGGGCAGUAAGUUAAUACCUUGCUGUUUUGACGGUACCAACAGAAUAAGCACCGGCUAACUUCGUG